UCGGAAAUACUGGGCGUAAAGCGCACGUAGGCGGCGUCGUAAGUCAGGGGUGAAAUCCCGCAGCUCAACUGCGGAACUGCCUUUGAUACUGGGUAUCUGGAGUAUGGAAGAGGUAAGUGGAAUUCCGAGUGUAGAGGUGAAAUUCGUAGAUAUUCGGAGGAACACCAGUGGCGAAGGCGGCUUACUGGUCCAUUACUGACGCUGAGGUGCGAAAGCGUGGGGAGCAAACAG
Molecule: ribosomal RNA, 231 nt
Filed under: uncultured bacterium
Lineage: Bacteria
Description: partial 16S ribosomal RNA
Rfam family: Bacterial small subunit ribosomal RNA
Source: RNAcentral